AAAAAAAAAAAAAAAAAAAAAAAAAAAAAAAAAAAAAAAAAAAAAAAAAAAAAUUCAUUUAUAUAGUAACGGGAACAAUGCCAAAAAAAAAAAAAAAAAAAAAAAAAAAAAAAAAAAAAAAAAAAAAAAAAAAAAAAAAAAAAAAAAAAACGAAAUCAAA
Saccostrea echinata is the source of this 160-nucleotide long non-coding RNA. RefSeq lists it as uncharacterized. The record is from RefSeq and is a predicted model, not a curated record. The transcript is spliced from 2 exons. NCBI's taxonomy places the organism in Eukaryota, Metazoa, Mollusca, Bivalvia, Ostreida, Ostreidae.